RNAcentral lists this long non-coding RNA (604 nucleotides) under Bos taurus (domestic cattle). RNAcentral's name for it is "long non-coding RNA NONBTAT017834". Lineage: Eukaryota; Metazoa; Chordata; Mammalia; Artiodactyla; Bovidae. The record is from RNAcentral.
GAAGACCAUGGCCAUGUGGCCCCUUUCAUAAAAUAAAGAACAAAAACCUGGCAACUCAGAGGUCUGUAAAGCCUCUGAUGACCAUUGGUAAGUAAAUGCUGGUGUCAAGUGCCUCAGACAUCAAAUAUACUGAAAAGUGUCCUGGGUUCAUUUUCAACUUGAAUAAUUCAAUAAGUUUCCAUUUGUUUCAAUAAGUUGAAAUAAGUCUCAAUUUGAAUAAUUCAACCCCCUCAAACAUGAAGCUUUCUUGCUUCCAACUCAAAACCCAUGUCAGCCCAGCACCAUACACAGAAAAGAACAUAAAUCCAACUCCACUAAGCACUGAGGAGUAGUAACUGAUGUUUUCAUUCUGUUUUUGUUAAUGAGGGUACAGAAGAGGUGGAGGGUGCAGUUACAAAUACAUUCAGAUUUCCUACCACUUCUGUGGCUAUCGCUCAUCUUUAAAGUUCUGUAGUCACUCCAAACUCCUUCCCUUUCUGCUCCAACUUUUCCCUCUUCCUCCUCAGGCACCCAUCCUGCCCCCAGUCUUCUUUCUCCCACGCAUCUCAUGACGUUUGUAGAUCAGUGAUAACUAAUGUAGAUCAAUGAAGCUUUUCUUGGUUUU